ACAUGCAGUCGAGCGGACAGAAGGGAGCUUGCUCCCGGAUGUUAGCGGCGGACGGGUGAGUAACACGUGGGUAACCUGCCUGUAAGACUGGGAUAACUCCGGGAAACCGGAGCUAAUACCGGAUAGUUCCUUGAACCGCAUGGUUCAAGGAUGAAAGACGGUUUCGGCUGUCACUUACAGAUGGACCCGCGGCGCAUUAGCUAGUUGGUGGGGUAAUGGCUCACCAAGGCGACGAUGCGUAGCCGACCUGAGAGGGUGAUCGGCCACACUGGGACUGAGACACGGCCCAGACUCCUACGGGAGGCAGCAGUAGGGAAUCUUCCGCAAUGGACGAAAGUCUGACGGAGCAACGCCGCGUGAGUGAUGAAGGUUUUCGGAUCGUAAAGCUCUGUUGUUAGGGAAGAACAAGUGCGAGAGUAACUGCUCGCACCUUGACGGUACCUAACCAGAAAGCCACGGCUAACUACGUGCCAGCAGCCGCGGUAAUACGUAGGUGGCAAGCGUUGUCCGGAAUUAUUGGGCGUAAAGGGCUCGCAGGCGGUUUCUUAAGUCUGAUGUGAAAGCCCCCGGCUCAACCGGGGAGGGUCAUUGGAAACUGGGAAACUUGAGUGCAGAAGAGGAGAGUGGAAUUCCACGUGUAGCGGUGAAAUGCGUAGAGAUGUGGAGGAACACCAGUGGCGAAGGCGACUCUCUGGUCUGUAACUGACGCUGAGGAGCGAAAGCGUGGGGAGCGAACAGGAUUAGAUACCCUGGUAGUCCACGCCGUAAACGAUGAGUGCUAAGUGUUAGGGGGUUUCCGCCCCUUAGUGCUGCAGCUAACGCAUUAAGCACUCCGCCUGGGGAGUACGGUCGCAAGACUGAAACUCAAAGGAAUUGACGGGGGCCCGCACAAGCGGUGGAGCAUGUGGUUUAAUUCGAAGCAACGCGAAGAACCUUACCAGGUCUUGACAUCCUCUGACAACCCUAGAGAUAGGGCUUUCCCUUCGGGGACAGAGUGACAGGUGGUGCAUGGUUGUCGUCAGCUCGUGUCGUGAGAUGUUGGGUUAAGUCCCGCAACGAGCGCAACCCUUGAUCUUAGUUGCCAGCAUUCAGUUG
Molecule: ribosomal RNA, 1095 nt
Filed under: Bacillus safensis
Lineage: Bacteria; Bacillati; Bacillota; Bacilli; Caryophanales; Bacillaceae
Description: bacterial SSU rRNA
Rfam family: Bacterial small subunit ribosomal RNA
Source: RNAcentral